This 247-nucleotide ribosomal RNA is filed under the name uncultured bacterium. RNAcentral describes it as "partial 16S ribosomal RNA". It matches the Rfam family "Bacterial small subunit ribosomal RNA", at positions 530 to 776 of the family's 1533-position model. The record is from RNAcentral.
GGGGGCAAGCGUUGUUCGGAAUUACUGGGCGUAAAGGGCUCGUAGGCGGCCAACUAAGUCGGACGUGAAAUCCCCAGGCUCAACCUGGGAACUGCGUCCGAUACUGGAUGGCUUGAAUCCGGGAGAGGGAUGCAGAAUUCCAGGUGUAGCGGUGAAAUGCGUAGAUAUCUGGAGGAAUACCGGUGGCGAAGGCGGCAUCCUGGACCGGCAUUGACGCUGAGGAGCGAAAGCCAGGGGAGCAAACGGG